CCCUAGUUUCCUCAUUGGCAAGGUGGGUAUAACAUCUACUUUGUAGAGUUGCUUUGAUACAUAUGUGAGGCGACAUAUUUAAACUUUCUAGCACAGUGCGUGCCUCUUAGUAGGAUUAAUGGUUGUCUGCCUGUGCCCUGUUGAAUAGACUGUGUUUCUCUGUCUAAAGGAUUUUAUCUAUGGUCAUAACCUUGACAAACCUAUUAUGCUUUUAACUCCCAGAUGUCUAUCUCUCAUGUAAUCUACUCUGAAUCUUCAAGUCUGAAAUUUCUGAAGCAUCUUGGAUAUCUUCUCAUUGUUAUCUUGGUUUUUGCCAAUUCACUUUAUUUGUACUAGGGCAGAAAAAUGUCCUCUGGUCAAAUGAAGCAUUGCAUGCUGGGAGAAAAAGUGCUGAGAGACAAGGAAAAGUAAGUAUUGUCCCAAUGUUUCUGGUUAAGAAGACAGAGAGAUAAUAUACCAUCUAGUGAGAUAAGGAAACCUGCAGGUUGAGCAGGAAACAGGAUCUUCUUUUUGGGGGAAAGGGUCAGUGGGGAGAGGGAAGAAGGGGGAAAAUAGUCUUGUUUUAUGUAUGUUGAGUUUGACAUAUUCAUUAGAGAUCUCGUGGAGCUAUUGAGUAAGCAUGUGAUGGAAGUUCCGUAAUAAUGUCCGGACUGGAUAUAUUGAUCUGGGAAUGGUGACCCUAUAGGUCAUAUUCAAAUGUCAUUAGACUGGUUGAGAUCACUGAAGAAAUAAAUAUAGAUGGAGUAGAGAAAAGGACCAAGAAGUGAACCAUGAAGUAUUCCAGUGUUCAAAGAUCUUGUGGAAGAGAAGGGUCCACCAAAAGACUCUGAAAAAAGGAAUCAGUAAGAUGGUAGGAAAACCAUGAAGUAUGGUGUGCUAAAAGCCCAAUAUUGAAAGUUUCCAGGAGAAGGGAAUGACAGACUUUGUCAAAUGCCACAAAGUCAAAUUAACAGUGAGAAACAUCUACUGGAUUUAGCAAUGGAGAAGUCAUUGAUAAGGUGACUAUAUUGGUUAUAAUUCAAACUUGACCUUUCUAAAACA
RNAcentral lists this long non-coding RNA (1041 nucleotides) under Macaca mulatta (Rhesus monkey). RNAcentral describes it as "lncRNA (ENSMMUG00000053373.1)". The record is from RNAcentral. Lineage: Eukaryota; Metazoa; Chordata; Mammalia; Primates; Cercopithecidae.